AGUGAACGCUGGCGGUAGGCCUAACACAUGCAAGUCGAACGGCAGCACAGUAAGAGCUUGCUCUUACGGGUGGCGAGUGGCGGACGGGUGAGGAAUACAUCGGAAUCUACUUUUUCGUGGGGGAUAACGUAGGGAAACUUACGCUAAUACCGCAUACGACCUACGGGUGAAAGCAGGGGAUCUUCGGACCUUGCGCGAUUGAAUGAGCCGAUGUCGGAUUAGCUAGUUGGCGGGGUAAAGGCCCACCAAGGCGACGAUCCGUAGCUGGUCUGAGAGGAUGAUCAGCCACACUGGAACUGAGACACGGUCCAGACUCCUACGGGAGGCAGCAGUGGGGAAUAUUGGACAAUGGGCGCAAGCCUGAUCCAGCCAUACCGCGUGGGUGAAGAAGGCCUUCGGGUUGUAAAGCCCUUUUGUUGGGAAAGAAGAGCAGCAGGUUAAUACCCCGCGGUUCUGACGGUACCCAAAGAGUAAGCACCGGCUAACUUCGUG
Molecule: ribosomal RNA, 492 nt
Filed under: uncultured bacterium
Lineage: Bacteria
Description: partial 16S ribosomal RNA
Rfam family: Bacterial small subunit ribosomal RNA
Source: RNAcentral